This 228-nucleotide ribosomal RNA is filed under the name uncultured bacterium. Its description in RNAcentral is "partial 16S ribosomal RNA". It matches the Rfam family "Bacterial small subunit ribosomal RNA", at positions 94 to 339 of the family's 1533-position model. The record is from RNAcentral.
AGCGGCGGACGGGUGAGUAACGCGUGGGAACGUGCCCUUCUCUACGGAAUAGUUCCGGGAAACUGGGUUUAAUACCGUAUACGCCCUUCGGGGGAAAGAUUUAUCGGAGAAGGAUCGGCCCGCGUUGGAUUAGGUAGUUGGUGGGGUAAUGGCCCACCAAGCCGACGAUCCAUAGCUGGUUUGAGAGGAAGACCAGCCACAUUGGGACUGAGACACGGCCCAAACUCC